ACGAACGCUGGCGGCGUGCCUAACACAUGCAAGUCGAACGGGACCGGGGGCAACUCCGGUUCAGUGGCGGACGGGUGCGUAACACGUGAGGAACAUGACUUUCGGCGGGGGAUAGCCGGCCCAACGGCCGGGUAAUACCGCGUACGACCCAAGGGAGACAUCUCCGCUGGGUGAAAGCAGCAAUGCACCGAAAGAGUGCCUCGCGGCCUAUCAGCUAGUUGGUGGGGUAACGGCUCACCAAGGCGACGACGGGUAGCUGGUCUGAGAGGAUGGCCAGCCACAUUGGGACUGAGACACGGCCCAGACUCCUACGGGAGGCAGCAGUGGGGAAUAUUGCGCAAUGGGCGAAAGCCUGACGCAGCGACGCCGCGUGUGGGAUGACGGCCUUCGGGUUGUAAACCACUGUCGGGAGGGACGAAUGCGCCGCAAGGCGAGUGACGGUACCUCCAAAGGAAGCACCGGCUAACUCCGU
This 472-nucleotide ribosomal RNA is filed under the name uncultured bacterium. RNAcentral describes it as "bacterial SSU rRNA". It matches the Rfam family "Bacterial small subunit ribosomal RNA", at positions 29 to 506 of the family's 1533-position model. The record is from RNAcentral.